This 584-nucleotide long non-coding RNA is filed under the name Anser cygnoides (Swan goose). RNAcentral's name for it is "lncRNA (ENSACDG00005009738.1)". Lineage: Eukaryota; Metazoa; Chordata; Aves; Anseriformes; Anatidae. The record is from RNAcentral.
UUGUGUUAUCCUUCCUGCUCUAGCUCAGAUAUAUUUGUUAUACUAAACUACACAGGAAAGAAUGAACUUGUCCUGACAUCUAAUCACAUAGGCUAUGUGAUUAAAGGCACAUUAACACAGAGGAACUCAGAAGUCCCAGGGCAGUCCCAGGAUCAGCUGGGGACAGCUCGAACAGAAAGAACAGAGGACUCUAGAGAUAAUGAAUUGUGCACUGUCACCUGGGAGUUUCAGGUAUCCUUGGCACCUGCUUCUCCAUAUAUCUUCCUUUGGGUUUUACUGUUGGGUAGUAAAGUUGUUGUUUUAGCAUUAAACAGCAUUCAGGGACCCUGAUGAUGAGGUCACUUUCUAUUUUCACAUUCAUCCAUGUUGGUCAGGAUAGGUAGGCAUACUUCUGAAGGGAAAAAAAAAAAAAAAAAGACUGCAUUACAAUAACGUUUUCUCAUCUUUUUUCUAAUUAAAAUUACUUUUUUAAAAAAGUUGUUGAAUAUAAAGAUUGUGUGUUGACUACUGGGAAAGUAAAAGAGUACUUCUUCCCUCAAAUCUCUGAAAAUAAGAAAAUAAAUACAAUUAGGUUCAGAUGUGCA